AGUAAAGACAGAAGAAAACAAAUAUUGUUUUGCAUCAUUACAGAAUGAAGUAAAGAAAAAGAAUAGUUCAUAACAAAAUUUUCAAUGGAAUUAAUGAAAAUGGGUAUUUAGUAUCCAUUCAUGGUGAGGUGGAAGCCAAACAUCGAUUACUUUUGGUUCAGUGGUUAACUACUCUUCUUCCUUCAUUGUACUUUCCAAUAAAUAUCACGGAUGAUGACUUAAGAACGUGCUUGAGCCAUGGCACAGUUUUGUGCCAGAUACUGAACAAGCUACGACCUGGUUUCGCGAAUGUGGUUAAUGAAGAUGGUCAUACUCUGCCAUCACAAUGAGAGAAUGUUAAAACAUUUCUGAAAGCUUUGGAUGGAUUGGGAUUGCUCCGGUUUGAAAUAUCAGACCUAGAGAAGGGAUGGUUUCCCAACAAGAUCUUGCUUGUUCGACCACUAUUUCUCUUGAUGAUUGAUUGACCAAUGUGUUUUGGUCAUGCAAGACUCAUUUUUUUUCUUUCUAGUUAUCAGUGUCUUGGUAGAUUCUAUUAAUGGUAAAUUUUUGACAGAGCUUACUUCAGUCUUCUGUGUACCACAUAUUUGUUCCAAUUCCUCUUUUACGCCUCAUGUUAUACUCUUGCCAAAUAGCCUGGUGAAAUUUCUUGAUACUA
This is a long non-coding RNA of Gastrolobium bilobum, 655 nucleotides long. RefSeq lists it as uncharacterized. Lineage: Eukaryota; Viridiplantae; Streptophyta; Magnoliopsida; Fabales; Fabaceae. The record is from RefSeq and is a predicted model, not a curated record. The transcript is spliced from 4 exons.